Molecule: long non-coding RNA, 1151 nt
Filed under: Homo sapiens (human)
Lineage: Eukaryota; Metazoa; Chordata; Mammalia; Primates; Hominidae
Description: HSALNT0229919
Source: RNAcentral
CGCGGCUGCAGAGGGACAUCUUUCAAGAACAGGCGCCGGCCUCGGCGUCCGCCGCGCAGUUAGGAAACUGACUGUCGCUCUCUCCGGCCUCGGCGCUGCUUCGGACGCCCCGGCACCGGCCCCCGUUGCUUUGUAGCAUUCUGCAGCUGGGCUGCAGGCGCCGUGGGCCUCCGCCAGUUGUGUUCGAGACGCGGUUCGGCCACAGAAGUUUUAGCUUGUGACUUUUGGCAAGUCAGUGGCCCUCUCUGGGCCUCAGGUGCCUUUUUUGCUGUGAGACCAGCGACUGUAUUUUUAACCCUGAUUUUAUCCCUAGAUCUACCCAACACAUAGUAGGUGCUCAAAAGAUAUUUAUGAGUGAAUGAAUGCAUCAUGAGAAGAAAUUGGACCAGAUGAGGCCCUGUGAAGCUGCUUGGGUCUUUUUUUGUUCUUUUUUUUUUCUCUCUUCUGAGUGUCCCUGGCCUGGACUAGAAAUUCUCCAUCCUUCGGCCUUCUGCGAGACUGCAGGAACAUUACUUUUGAAGGAUGCUAAGGAAUCCGAGGGAUGAAAAAAAUCAAGAGAUUGCAAUGAUGUCACAAAACAAGGAAACAAGGCAGGAAGUUCUUGUGUGUUUUUUUGCGGGAGAGAGUCCAUGUGCAGCAUCUUCACUCCGAAGCAGAAAUUUGCCAAAAAAGCAUCCUCUUUUUAUCAGAAAAUAAAAUAUCCUGGUUUCUUAGCCUGGCAUUCUUGGAUCCCCACAGUUUGAUCCCAACCGACAACUCCUUAUUUGAAACUUCAGAUUCUCCCAAACCGUCACCUUCCUCGUGGACUUAAUCCUGGAAGGCCCUUCUACCCCACUUCGCCUUAUCUCACACAAACACAGUCUCUCUCUGACUGAGAUAAACUUGAACACUUCUUUUCUUUUCUUUUUUUUUUUCUUUAAAUUUCGGGUUUCAAAAUACAAAUGGCCUAAUCACAACAUUUCUGUAAUGUUGUCUAAAUUCAGGUACUGGUUUGAAUAGAGGACAAAAAUAAAACAAGGUUUGAAGACUAAGUACUUUAAAAACAUAUUUAUUUAAAUAGAGGCAGGGCCUCCCUAUGUUGCCCAGGCUGCUCUCAAACUCCUGGCCUCAAAAGUGAUCCUUGGGCUGGGCGUGGUGGCUCACGCCUGUAA